AGUUCAAUCCUCCCUCCUCCCCACUGUUCAACCGCAACGACUUUAUCUCAUCAAGUAUGCGCUCUCUCACGUGAGGCUUCGACGAGAUCUCCCAGAAAAACCACGUGAGCGAUGAUGGCAUAGUAUCCCUGCCUGCUAUCAGAAAACUUAUCAUGUUAUCACAAAUAGCCUCGUUUGUAAGCUCUCCGCUCGCAGCGAAUCUCGACACCAGGUCGAGGCGAGCGGAGGAGCGGGUUCGCUGCAGCGACUCAAUCGAGCCGCGGACUGCAGCGAGGCUGGCUCGGAGCUUGCGCUCCAAGCCAGUGUUGAGCCACCGCCGGAGCUUCCAG
RNAcentral lists this unclassified non-coding RNA (329 nucleotides) under Hevea brasiliensis (rubber tree). The record is from RNAcentral. Lineage: Eukaryota; Viridiplantae; Streptophyta; Magnoliopsida; Malpighiales; Euphorbiaceae.